Long non-coding RNA from Papaver somniferum (opium poppy), 520 nucleotides. RefSeq lists it as uncharacterized. NCBI's taxonomy places the organism in Eukaryota, Viridiplantae, Streptophyta, Magnoliopsida, Ranunculales, Papaveraceae. The transcript is spliced from 2 exons. The record is from RefSeq and is a predicted model, not a curated record.
GAAACUAGAUGAACCCUAAAACACCAUCAUCAUCUUCUUCAUUGCCUGCACCACAACCAAGUUCACCAUCCCACAUUCUCCACUGCCUCCAACUGAACUAACAUCACUUCUCCAAAAUACUCUACGAAAUUAAUGGUUCUGUGGUUUUUCUUGGCUGGCUAUCGGAAAGUAACAAAGGAAAUUGGGAUGUUGAGAACCAUCAGAAGAAAGUCAUGUGGCAGCUGGAAAUUUUUUGGGGCUGACUGCUCAAAAUCUCAAGUAUUAUGCGUGCACAAGUUAUGAGGUGACUGGCAAAGGAGUUUCUGAUGAUAUUGAAAUGCAAAAUGGUAAUCAAGUAAUGAUUGGUAAAGAUAAUCGUGUGGAAGGCGAUAAGUUGGAGGUUUAAGCAAUCUGUUUGGAAUGUUAUUAACUACUAAGAUUGUUGCUAGGCUAUUUCAAGUUGCAAACACCAUUUUCUUCUUGUUUUAUGUUGUUGGUUCAUAUAUAUGCAGCCUACAUUCUAGUGUGGAAUUAAUGUUUA